GCUCGCCCGCUUGCCCGCCCGCGGGCCCGCAGGCCGCUCCGCCGGUCGCUCCGCCGGUCCUCUUCAGGCAGAGGUCUUCUCUUAAGUCGCCAUCGAAAGAACUGGAUUCAGUCCUUGAUGACCUACAGGCAGCAGCCCUCCACUUCGUCCUGAGACUCACCUCAAGAACCUCUUCCCCACCUCUACCACAGAUGACCUCUUCUCUCUCUCAUCCCUGGACACCUCAGGCACAGCCGGUCCUUCAUUCAUUCCUUCCCCCAAUACUACACACACAGUCACCUCAAGACAGGUCAACACGUCAACAAGGCAGCAUGAAUCCCAGCGAGUCCACCAUCUCUACAGCCCCCAGCUUCUUUUUCUUAUAAGGAAGAUGGCUCAGGGAGUAAAGGUACUUUAUAACAUGGACAACCUGAGUUCGAUCCCCAAGGCAGACAUGACAGAAGGCAAUAACUGACUCCGGAAAGUUGUCCUCUGACCUCCGCACGAGUGCCAUGGAUACUCUUAAAUAAAUAAAUAAAUAAAUAAAUAAAUAAAUAAAUAAAUAAAUAAA
Non-coding RNA from Rattus norvegicus (Norway rat), 550 nucleotides. The record is from RefSeq and is a predicted model, not a curated record. NCBI's taxonomy places the organism in Eukaryota, Metazoa, Chordata, Mammalia, Rodentia, Muridae.